ACUAAGAUAUUUCUCCUGAAGG
RNAcentral lists this microRNA (22 nucleotides) under Columba livia (rock pigeon). RNAcentral describes it as "cli-miR-9620-3p". The record is from miRBase by way of RNAcentral. Lineage: Eukaryota; Metazoa; Chordata; Aves; Columbiformes; Columbidae.